CUGAAAAUUUCUAGUCAUCCUGACGAACCAAUUAUUUGGUUCAGGGGAGAUUGGACAUUGGACCCACAAUGGGAAGUUGCCAAACAGCUGGGACUUUUGCCACACCUAUCAAGAAAGUGAUGAUCUUUGCAGAAUUCAGUUGCAUAUCUUGGAUCUGAGUUCUGCGCAGCAUUGGACACGCACUCUGCACUUUUGAAAGUUGAAGUUGAUUAAAAGUCAUCUGAUGUUUACACCGCGGUAUUUCAGGGUCUUCCAGUCAUCUUGGAGGAUGACCCAGAGGAAUUUUACAGGAUGUGCUUUGAUGUUGAUGUAGAUGCAGACUUCAGUGACGUAGGAUGUAGGCCUGCUCACAGUUUUACCAG
Molecule: long non-coding RNA, 362 nt
Organism: Sinocyclocheilus rhinocerous
Lineage: Eukaryota; Metazoa; Chordata; Actinopteri; Cypriniformes; Cyprinidae
Exons: 5
Source: RefSeq, a predicted model, not a curated record